This is a non-coding RNA of Cicer arietinum (chickpea), 520 nucleotides long. The record is from RefSeq and is a predicted model, not a curated record. NCBI's taxonomy places the organism in Eukaryota, Viridiplantae, Streptophyta, Magnoliopsida, Fabales, Fabaceae.
CUCUUGUUAUAAUCCCAACCUUCAGAUAUUAUCACAUUCAAAACAUUAACUUUCACAAACAUGAAAAACAAGGAAAAAAAAACAGAGAACAGAAAUGUGGAGUCUCUUACCAAUCUACCCUCGGCAUCUACAACUGGAAGGCGUCGAAAUUUUGUUUCCAGCAACAAUCUGAAGAAAUAUAUUAGACGAAGGAUGCUGAUGGAAAUCAAUGUAGUGCCUUGAAAUUGGAAAUGUAUUUUGUACUAUUAAGUCAUUCAGGGGGACUGUUUUGUAUUCUACUAGAUAGAUUGUAUAUUCUGGAGUAUUUUGGUUUCUGUUAAAGAUUUGAGUACUUUGGAGUGCAUUGCAAGUUGGUUUGUAUUUUGGAGUGCUACUGCCUAUUUUGGAUUGUAUUAAGUUUUAUGGUUUAGAGGACUGACUAAAUUCUGGUUGGUAUUUUAGAUUGGCAUUGCAAAUCCCUGAUGUUGGUUUGUAUUGUCAGUUUAUAAAUGUAUUUUAAAUUAUAGACAAUAUUCUGGUU